UAGGAAAACAAGAGGCCUGGCGCCACAUACUCCUCCUCCAUGGGGAGAUGAUGAGAGAACAAAGAACAUGUGAUGGAUGUGAGACACAUCACAUAAUGUGAUGGCCUCAGAUAGUCAGAUGAGCAAGGAUCCAAGCUUCCACAGGACAGAAUGACACCUGAAUUUCUACAAGAGAUUUCAAUCGAAAGUGAAGAUGCUGGGGUGAAUCCCUGCCCUUUGUACAGGAUUGCUGGUGUGCUUCAAAUUCUCACCUCAAUGUGAAUUAACUUCAAGAUGAAGAUGAAGCCUACAUCAAAUAACAAAAUCAACUGUUGCUUUGUCCCAGAUUUGAAGAAAAGGCCUACCUGCAGCUUCAGCAGUAGAUCACCAAGAGAGUGUAUCUUCUGUACCAGGUCAUGGGAGUUCAGCUCAGAGUUGUACAGUAGAAAGAGCAUGCCUGCAGUCUCUUCAAGACAUCAGACUGCUGUAAGUCAGCCAUGCACAUGGCCCUGAAGGGAUAUCUACAAGGUCCUUGUAUCUUCAUUGUGAAUGCUUCUUAUUUCAGAGAACAAGAGAAAAGGAUUGUUUUGUUUUAGUUGCAGUUUUUUCUUUACUGUAAACUUUAAAUUAAAAUGUUGAAAUAUAUUGUGUGCCUUAUAUGUUCCUUCUAAGUUCUGAAAAAAAAGUGCAUUGUUCAUUCAGGAUGAGUAAAAAUUUUCUAAAUCAUUUUCCUCCUUGUUUUAGGUUUAUACAAAGUCCAUCGUGCUUCGAACACAAGAAUUUUAUUAGCAACAUUCUCAGGGUUGUGAAAUAUUUAGAAGCGAAUAAGGAACUUGCAAGCAACUUUACAGUAAACACAUUUAUGCUUAUAUGAAAUGGGUUGCAGAUUUUAAUGUGAAGACCUUGUCUGCUUGUGUAUAUAUGUAUAUGGAUAUGACGUGAAUAUGUGGAUAUCCCUUGGAAAGGAUUGAUACAUUCUAAUAAAGUGGUGAAAAACAGUUACUGAGAGGGAACU
RNAcentral lists this long non-coding RNA (994 nucleotides) under Anas platyrhynchos platyrhynchos (common mallard). Its description in RNAcentral is "lncRNA (ENSAPLG00000023928.1)". The record is from RNAcentral. Lineage: Eukaryota; Metazoa; Chordata; Aves; Anseriformes; Anatidae.